UGAAAAAGUCUUUUGUGUACCAGAUGGAGCC
This 31-nucleotide non-coding RNA is filed under the name Mus musculus (house mouse). Lineage: Eukaryota; Metazoa; Chordata; Mammalia; Rodentia; Muridae. The record is from RNAcentral.